UUUUUUUUUGACAUCAGACUCACACUUGGCCUUACCUUUUUGUUUCUCGUUUUUCUCUUACUCUCUUUUUUCCUAAGAUUACUGUU
Molecule: small RNA, 86 nt
Filed under: Arabidopsis thaliana (thale cress)
Lineage: Eukaryota; Viridiplantae; Streptophyta; Magnoliopsida; Brassicales; Brassicaceae
Description: ATSL274170
Source: RNAcentral